Cyprinus carpio (common carp) is the source of this 614-nucleotide long non-coding RNA. RefSeq lists it as uncharacterized. The transcript has 6 exons. Lineage: Eukaryota; Metazoa; Chordata; Actinopteri; Cypriniformes; Cyprinidae. The record is from RefSeq and is a predicted model, not a curated record.
GGACUUUUCACUGUUUGUAUCACUCCGCUUCUCCGUGUCGGCGUUUCCAGACAGAUUCGACGCCUCUACACGCGAUAAAAGGUGUUUGUGAAUUCCCAGCCUGUCACUAGCAGUGAGCGUAGUCUGCGUGCUAAUGUUGCCUCCAGCUCUUCCAGAAGGGAGUCUUUUCCAGACCCACUCCGUGUCCCGGACCCCAGUAUCAGCGUCCGGAAGGAUUCCCUCUCCAACAGACCUGCCAUGUUCUGCAGGAAGUAACCUUCACAGAACUCUGGGACGGCCAUCUUCAGAGACUCCGUCCCCCCGCAGUAUAGCCCACUGAACGAGGAUUCAACUGAUCUUACCUGGAAGAUGUUGUACUUGAUGUUGCUGAUCUCGAUUUCCUUGCGGGGCUGAGUGCUGUCCGUCCCAUUCAGCUCCAGCAGACUUUUGAAUCUGAUUUCAGAGCAGACAACAUGCUUUAUUCUUAACAGUUAAUGAUGUUGAACAUCAGAGGAAGGCCAACACAGACUAGUUCCUCACAGUAAUCCUCCUCUUUGAUGGAGGUGAAGUCUCGCAGAAGGGAGAGCAUGACUCCGGCUCUGGACUUUUGCUGAGCGCUGCGUAGGGACUCCAAC